Molecule: long non-coding RNA, 994 nt
Organism: Perca fluviatilis (European perch)
Lineage: Eukaryota; Metazoa; Chordata; Actinopteri; Perciformes; Percidae
Exons: 4
Source: RefSeq, a predicted model, not a curated record
UCUGUUAUCACAGGCAUGCUUUUCAGAGGUUUUGAUCUUAGAUCUUUAAACAAUCCCUCUAACUAGGGAUUGUUAUUGAGAACUGUACUCUUGAUGUUUCUGAGAUGUUCUAUAUUCUAUACAACAGUUUAAACUAUUUGAAUUUUGUAUUGCCCUAAUUGGCAAACAAGUUAAGUGUUGAACUGAACUGUUAACAUUGAAAUUUAAACAGCACUGUCUGUUACAAACAUUACUUGACUUUAACUGUUAUUAUAGCAUUUUGUAGCUGUAAGGUUCUGCAAAAUUGAUGUCACAAGCUUAUGUGCAUGUGUGAUUGAUUACUUAUGUAAAGUCAUACUUUAAAAAUGAUGCUAUUGCAUUUCUUGUCAUUUAUUCAUUGAGGCAGUCAUUUUUCUGUUUUUGCUAAAAGAAUUCAGGAAAUUAAUGUAAUUCAUGUUUUCCUGAAAAUGGUUAAUAUACAUUUGUUAGUUGACUUUAGUGCUUAAGCAGUUUUAAGCAGUUUUUAGAGCUUAAGCAGUUUUAAGCAGUUUUUAGAGCUUAAGCAGUUUUGGCUUUCUUUUUUCAUAAUGCCAGGAGAAGCUUUAGAUGCUUGUUUUGCCUUUAUUUGUUUAAAGCAAUAUAUUUGACUAGCAGCAAGUGUGUGGAGGUCAAAAUAUGUUCAAGACAAUAAAAAUGUCAGUGAAGGACAUCUGAGAUUUUGUUGCAGUGGUUUUCUGAUGCAUGUGUUUAAGGUUUAAGGGUGGUGACACAGCUAAGACCCGAGAGUCUCUUUCAAGACACUGAAUUUGAGCAGAAACCAUAAGGAUACUCAAAGGACCUGUGACUCUCAGGAAAUGCAUCAAAUGAGAGUGACAGGUGAAACAGUUUCAAGACAAUGGCAGGAAAAGCAUGCUGAAGAUUGAAUCAAACCUUGGCUGGAAAUAUUUGAAGGGAUCUAGCCAGUCCUCAAUGAAAGCUUCGUUGCCCCCCUGUGAAUCUUCUGGCAGAAAUGAUG